AAUAAUCAACAAUGAAGUACAUACAUCUUAAUAUGCCAAAAAAGAAGACAAUCCGCCCAGGAAAUUGCAGAAAUUUUAUCAACAAGAAAGAUUUAAAAAAUUACGGAAAAUAAGGGUAAAUUACAGAAGAAAAUACCAGAGAAAAUAACGAACUCAGCUGCUUUCCUUUUAAUUAGUGAAAUUCAAUUAUGGCAAACUUUGGUGAGCUAGAUGCGAAUGGAGGAUGGAAAACAGGGACUAGCUUGAACCGCGAACCUCGUCGACAACCUCGAACUCGGGACCUCUCGCACGGGAACUCGCCGGCGACUUCGCCAUGGAUUCUACCAUUUUUAGCGUGAUGAAAGGGCUAUUUUGGAGCUGAUUUUCAGAGCAGUUUUUAGCAGUUUUUUAUCUUCGUUUCGAGAAAAUUUAAACUACGUUUUUUGCUCAAUUUCAUGACUGUUCUUCAGCUUGUUUUGGGUGAGGUUUGGGGCUGUAAUGGGAUGGUUCGGAGGUGCUUUUCGGGUCAUUUUUUUAGUAGCUUUUGGACAUGUUUUGUAGCAUGAUUUUCGCUGCUUUCGUUGCGUUCUUGAACUGGUUUUCUGGUAGAAACAGGGGCUGUUCGGGUAAGGUUUUUUGCGUGAUUUUCCGGUUAGUUUUCGGGCUAAGGGAUGUUGUUUAUGGAGGAGGAAGAAGGCAGCAACAACUGCUGCAUUUUUGGCCGCAAACAGCUAUGAUUUUUCUUUCAAAUGCUGUUGAAAAUCUUGGGUUUUGAGAAUGGCUGAAGCUUUUGUAAUUGGGGGUGAGGGAUUUUUGGUUUGGUUGUUGAUGAAGAAGAUGGAUGGGGGAGGGUGUUUUCUGAUUUUGUUCAGCGGCUUGUCAAUCUCUUUUAGGUCUCUUAGGCGUGUUUUUAGCUAUUUUCAACUGCUAGGUACUUAUAUGCAGAUGUCUAGGGUUUAAUUAAAGGGUAUGGGUGUUGGGCUAAGGGUUAAUUUUGGGACAACGGGGAUUUGGGCUCAAGGGCUAGUCCGAAAUUGGGCCAUUUUCUUGCCCAAAAUUGAGCUAAAAUUGUCUUGAAUUAUCUAACAAUUGGGCUUCUUAGAAGAUCUGGAUUUCAUUAACUAAGGGCCUAAGUUUUUCUUAUUUAAAAUAGUAUAAAGCAUUUAUAAAAAUGUAAAACCACUCCUAAUUAAUUAUAAAAACUAUUAAAGAUAAACCUAAAAUGAAACUAGUUUUGUUUUUGUAUUUUUCAAGAUUAAAAAUGACUACAAAACAUUAAUGAAACUAUUUUUUUGUAAUUUUUGUUUUCUUGUAAUAAAAUAAAAUAAAAGCGUAAAAGUUAGUUGAAAUAGAUAUAUUAGGCCUAAAUUAAAUAUUUACGUGUUAAAAUAUAAAAAAUCUUGGGAAGGGUCAAAAAUCACAUGUCUACAACUGCCCCUCUUUGACUGAAAAUACGAAGUAUUUUUAGACAAAGAACGACUAGAUAAGUUUUUUGACCUGACCCUUAUUUAAAGAGACUAAAAGCUAAAAGAAGAGAGAAUGUGACCGAGCCCUAGUAUCUGAGUUGCCUACAUAUCCUUGGCUGUAAAGGAAUCAGGCCACGUGUAGUUCAGAAGUGAGUGAGAUGAUGGAGUAUACCGAGCUGAAGAGCCGGUCGAGGUGCCGUUCCGCCGAGGUUCCGGUCCGCGGUCCUGUUAUUACAUCAAAAAAAUAAAAAAAAUGGAAAAGACUAGCUAAGCCUAUCAACUACGAGUUACAAGAUUACUAUCUAUAAGUCUUCUGAAGCUUGAUCUUGAGUCUUGAGUGGUUCUUCAUGCAAACUUUAGAUUUGAACCUUGACGCUUGCUAGUUGCAGGUACUAGUUCAUCCUUCUUCAGCUUUUCGGAUCAAGACCAGGCAUGUAGUGCUUGUGACCUCAGCGAUAUCUUGAGCAGCCCACAUCUUUCAUCAACUUCUGCAUUUGGAUUAACUUCUUGCCUUUCUUUUUUUUCUUUAUUAUGACUAACUUCUGUUGAUCACCUCGAACUGUUGACUCGCAUUCUUGCCGCGAGCUUCUUUUGUUGCUAACUUGAAUUGUAUUCUGAAGUGAAUUCUCUUAUUCUCUAGGUAGGUGCCUAAUUGCUGAACUUGAACCGUCUUCCUUUGACCACUGUUUCCUUCCCUUUGUUCUCCGGGUGGGCUCCUGAUUUCAUACAUUUGAAUUAUCUUCCUUUCCUCUGAAACUUGUCUUGUUCUCCCUUUGUUCUCUAGGUGGGCUCCUGAUUUCCGAACUUCCUUUGAACCUUGCUGCUUCCCUUUGUUCUCCAAGGGGCUCCUGAUUGCUAUAUUUCUUUGAACAUUGCUUCUUCCCUUCGUUCUCCAGGUGGGCUCCUGAUUACCAACACUUGCACUACGUUUCCUCGAAACUUGAACUGUUUCCCUUUGUUCUUCAGGUGGGCUCCUGAUUGCUGAACUCCUUUGAACCUCGCUGCUUCCCUUCGUUCUUCAGGUGGGCUCCUGAUUUCUAUCUUCCUUUGACAUUGCUGCUUCCCUUCGUUCUUCAGGUGGGUUCCUGAUUGAUGUCUUCCUUUGAAUGUUGCUGCUUUCCUUCGUUCUCCAGGUGGGCUCCUGAUUGGUGUCUUCCUUUGAACAUUGCUGCUUCCUUUCAUUCUUCAGGUGGGCUCCUGAUUACCAACACUUGCGAUGCUUUUCCUCGAAACUUGAACUGCCUCCUUUUGUUCUUCAGGUGGGAUCCUGAUUGCUGAACUCCUUUGAACCUUGCUGCUUUUCCUUUGUUCUUUAGGUGGGCUCCUAAUUGCUGAACACUUGCAUUGCUUUUCCUUGAAACUUGAAUUGCUUCCCUUGAAACUUGAACUGCUUCCCUUUGUUCUCUAGGUGGGCUCCUGAUUUCCAACACUUGAACUGACCCCUCUGAAACUGCUGCUUGUGAACCUGAUUACAACAAAACAAACAAACAAAAAAAAAAUCUGCCCCAGUUUGAUAUUGGGAACAUCUGUGAGUGUUAAUCAAAUCAUAAUACCCAAAAGCUCUAAGAAUUUAAAAUCUAAAUCCCAUUAUCCAUGAGGGUCCUGAAAAUUAAGAAUUAAAUCUCAUCUCAAGAGUGACACCUUCAAAGCUAAAUUCUAUUUCCUAAAUGUAAAACUUACGCUAAAUCUUAUUGUCUAUGAAGGUCUUAAAAACUUAAAACUAAAUCCCAUUAUCCGGGUCCUGAGAACUUUAAAUUAAAUCCCAUUAUCCAGGAGGAUUCUGAAAAUUUUAAAUUAAGUCCCAUUAUCUAGGAGGGUCCUGAAAAUUUUAAAUUAAGUCCCAUUAUCUAGGAGGGUCCUGAAAAGCCGAGAACGAACUUACCUGAGCCGCGCUCUCUUCCUGGAGGAUCUCUAUAGACCGAACAAAAUUCCUUUCCCCUGAACCACGCUUUUCCUCAUGGAGAGUUCCUGUAGAUCAAACACAUUUUUCUUUCCCCUUCUCAAAUCGCCUUUGUGCUGACAAAAAUUGUGCACGACACUUGAAAAAAUUCAAACUUCCAAGCUUUGAUUUGGACAUAAUUUUCAUCCCUAUUUCAAACAAAGAGAACUUGUGAGCUUAUAAAUAUGGUGGUUGGUUUGUGGCCUUGACUUUGAGGGCGAUUGCUCCUUAACUACCCAUGAUAACUUUGAUUUCCACUCGAAAGACCUUGCUUGUUUAUUGACUAGCUACUUUCUUUGUCACCCUUAUCACGGAAAAUACCUCUAAUCUGUUCAAACCCGAUACCAUUCAUCUGUUGCAGUGUGUUCUUGCAUUGACAUGUACUGAACCUUUGUGUUUCACAUGAAUCCCAAAGUACAUCAAUUGCCAUCCACUCAGUGCGCAUGCUGUUCUUUCCUGACUUAAAACACUGGCCUUGGCCUUGAGGUCUAUUGCUCCUUCACUUGCCAUGAUAACUUUGAUUUCUGCUUGGAAGACCUUGCUUGUCACUGGUUAACCACUUUCUUUGUCAAUCUAUCACAGAAAAUACCUUUGAUCUAUUCCAACCCAACACCCUCUAUCUAUUGCAUUGUUCAUCAAUUGACAUAUACCGAUCCUUUGUAUUUCACGUGAAUCUCAAAGCACGUUGAUUGUUACCAACUCAGUGCGCUUGCUAUUCUUUUCUGGCUUAUGAAACUUUGAUGUGCAUAGCCAGAUCCCGUUUUGUGCAAUUGAAAAGAAUCAGGUCAAACGUAGUUCCCAAAACUACUUUUAUUACUAUUUUCCUUUUCUUUUUCCUUUUUCCCUUUUCCCUUUUUUUAUUUUUUUCUUUCCCCUUUUCUCUUUUUUCUUUUUCUUUUUCUUUUUUUAUCUCUGUUUUUUUUGAAUCUUCAUUUUGGAAUGAACUUCUAAAAUAAACCUAUGGGGACAUGAACUUUUUUUUUCUUUUUUCGUAUGACUCUAACUUGAUUCUAAAAGAGGGAAGGUCAAAGAAAUCAGUACAGGGUCAAAAAGGGUAUCGAAUGUAUAAGUGUUUCUGUAGCUGAAAGAGGGCCUCCCAAUCCCUAAAAAUGGCAAGUACAACACAUGCAACUUGAAAUGAAAAAGGAAUAGCGCGCACAAUGUUUCUUUUACAGCCUUGACAUUGAUAUCAGUGAUAUGAUUUCCAUUCUUUUAGUGACUUGUCAAGUACAGAACCCUCGUUAGGUGAUUCCCUCUUCACAAUGGAUAUCCUCCAUCAAUUCGGAGACAACUUUCUUGACUUUAUCUUGUAACUUGAGAUGCACUUGAACUCAAAGUUUCUUGCUUCAAAUUGUUUGGGAUGCACUCUACUUUAACGAAUUCUUGUCACCCUAUUAACUUCCCAAAUUAUCUGCCCCAGUUUCACAUGGUUUGGGCUUCAAAUGAUCUUAAAAUGUCCAAAUCUGUACUUAUUUCCCUCAAAUGUCCCUAUCAUCUUCAAAAUUGUUUCAUUGCUUCAUGAUUAAACUAACUUUAGAACCAUGCCUAAAAUUAUGCAUGCAUGUCAUGUCAUUAAAUCCAGCAUGAGAAGAAAAACUAUAAAAGGAGAAGAUAACUAAACAAAAAAUGGUUAGAAAUAACAGAAAACAGGAAAUUGCAUUAGACAGACGGUGAAAAGGGUUUGGAUAAUAAGACAAGCAAAAUAAACUGGGGUACAAUCCUGGAACAAAACCAGACAACACUAAACGAGCUACUACGACUAAACAAAACUAGGCAAAAUAAAAGGAUAGAAGGGUUUGAGUCACAAGACAAUAUUCGGAUUACAACCCUGAAAAUAACCCGGACAACAGAAAUAAAAACAAAAUAAACCACCACAACUCCUCCCCGGGCCAACCAAGAAUGGAGUGUCUUUCCAAUUACCAAACACGACAUCUUAGCCACUGAGUUUCGCAUCAACAUUACUAGGACCUUCACAAGUCUCAAUCACAUUGACUUUAGCAAAUUGCAUUUAGGUCCUUUUGCCGGCUCGUUCUUAAGACCAAACUCUGAUAGCGCUGAAAGCUUCGCAGCACGUGGACCUCCGAGGAUCUCAGAAGAAUUCUCAUAUUCCUUUUCAAAACAAAUCAUACCCACCACAUGCGUCUCAUUAUGAACAUGCGAUGGACUUUGGCUAGUGUCUACUGCAUCUGGAUUUUGCACGACAAUGUCACCUGCAUCAAUAAGCUUCUGAAUUACAUUUUUCAGGUGCCAACACUUUUUUGUACUGUGACCCGGGGCACCGGAUCAGUAUGCGCACCUUUGAGAAAAAUCAAACUUCUUUGGCAAAGGGUUUGACAUUUUUAUUUGAAUCGGCUUCAACAUGUCCAAUUGCCUCAACCUUUGGAACAAACUAGCAUAUGAUUCUCCAAUAGGAGUGAAAGCUUUUUCUUUUUUCUAUUGUCUUUUCAGUUUGUAUUCUGGCUUCGGUUGGAACCUUUUGCGAGCAGGUGGCUGAUAUGCUUGAGGGGGCGGGUAAGACAUUUGGGUAAAUGGUGCGGGCCUCGUGGGUGUGGAGCAUAUGGUGGUGCAUUGUGGAUAGGGUACUGGAAAAGUGAUGUACGACUUUGGGGGUUCUAUGGAGAGAAGUAGCAUUGGGGAGGAUCAUCUAGUACACAAGGAUAUCCAUGGGGUCGAUGUCGAGGCUGAAAGCGUUGAGCAAGAAUGCCCAGCGGAUCAUCUUUUCUAUUUCUCUUUCUUCCACCCAAACUUACUGGGAUAUUCUGAAUGUCUUCCAUAGUAUCUUUCAAUGCCGAAUAACUCAUGAUUUUGCCUGACUUGAUUCCCUCUUCUACCAUCUCCCCCAUUUUUACUACAUCAUUAAAAGGUUUACCCAAGGUCAGAAUCAAAUGACUGAAGUAGGUGGGCCCUGAGCUUGUAGGAAAAGCUAAACUAUUUCUUCUUCACCAAUGGGAGGACAGACUCGUGCAGCUUGCUCCCUCCAUCUGAGCCCAAACUCCCUAAAGCUUUCCUCCGGUUUAUUUUCCAUCUUAGAUAGGGAGGAGUGGUCUGAGGUAAUGUCUAAUUUGUAUUGAAAGUGUCGAACAAAAUCUUGAGCCACGUCGCCCAAUGUAUGCCACUUACCGACAUCUUGACGAUUAUGCCAUUCCAAAGCUGCCCCAGUCAAGCUCUUACUGAAAUACGUCAUCAACAAAUCAUCUUUCUCGCCAACACUUCUCAUUUCCCUGCAAUAACCCCUUAGAUGGGCUACCGGAUCUCCACGCCCCUCAUACAAAUUGAACUUCGGCACUUUAAACCCCGCAGGCAGAUGUACAUCAGGGAACAUAUGAAUCUGAUUUCUCAUCCCUUGCAUGCUCCUUAAGGACUGUUCUAUACCUUUCAGCUUCCUGGAUAUUUCAUCUCGCCCUUCUUUUCCUGUGACCUUUUCAUUUUCAGCAUGAGGCUCAUUCCGAGGGCUCUGCUUGUAUGAGUCAAGAACCUUGUGGGCAACUUCUGAGGGGUAAUAUUGGGCAUCACGAGCUUUGAGUGGGUAUUCAUUUUUGGGGAUAGUGGAUAUGACAGGAGGGUAAUUUUGGGGAAAGGUAAUUGGAGGACGAGUGAUGGAGCUACUAAGGUGGUUGGGAAAACUGUGAUAAGCGGGUGGAUCUGGAGAGUAUGGGGGAUCAUCUGGCACUAUGACAGGAGUUCGGGUAAGG
This 7076-nucleotide long non-coding RNA is filed under the name Nicotiana tabacum (common tobacco). Its description in RNAcentral is "long non-coding RNA (NTAB_LNC011144)". Lineage: Eukaryota; Viridiplantae; Streptophyta; Magnoliopsida; Solanales; Solanaceae. The record is from RNAcentral.